Molecule: microRNA precursor, 106 nt
Filed under: Marmota monax (woodchuck)
Lineage: Eukaryota; Metazoa; Chordata; Mammalia; Rodentia; Sciuridae
Source: RNAcentral
AGUGGGAUAACUGGGUCAAAUGGUAGUCCCAUUCCAAGUUUUCUGAGGAUUCUCUAUACUGCUUUCCAGAGUGGAUACACCAACAAUUUGCAAUCCCACUAGCAAU